AUUGAACGCUGGCGGCAUGCCUUACACAUGCAAGUCGAACGGUAGCAGGUCUUCGGAUGCUGACGAGUGGCGAACGGGUGAGUAAUACAUCGGAACGUGCCCGAUCGUGGGGGAUAACGCAGCGAAAGCUGUGCUAAUACCGCAUACGAUCUACGGAUGAAAGCGGGGGAUCUUCGGACCUCGCGCGGACGGAGCGGCCGAUGGGAGAGUAGGUAGUUGGUGGGGUAAAGGCUCACCAGGCCUGCGAUCUGUAGCUGGUCUGAGAGGACGACCAGCCACACUGGGACUGAGACACGGCCCAGACUCCUACGGGAGGCAGCAGUGGGGAAUUUUGGACAAUGGGCGCAAGCCUGAUCCAGCCAUGCCGCGUGCAGGAUGAAGGCCUUCGGGUUGUAAACUGCUUUUGUACGGAACGAAAAGUCUCUUUUUAAUAAAGAGGGAUCAUGACGGUACCGUAAGAAUAAGCACCGGCUAACUACGUGCCAGCCGCCGCAGUAA
RNAcentral lists this ribosomal RNA (498 nucleotides) under uncultured bacterium. Its description in RNAcentral is "partial 16S ribosomal RNA". It matches the Rfam family "Bacterial small subunit ribosomal RNA", at positions 30 to 523 of the family's 1533-position model. The record is from RNAcentral.